This 440-nucleotide ribosomal RNA is filed under the name uncultured Janthinobacterium sp. Its description in RNAcentral is "bacterial SSU rRNA". It matches the Rfam family "Bacterial small subunit ribosomal RNA", at positions 358 to 790 of the family's 1533-position model. The record is from RNAcentral. Lineage: Bacteria; Pseudomonadati; Pseudomonadota; Betaproteobacteria; Burkholderiales; Oxalobacteraceae.
GGAAUUUUGGACAAUGGGCGCAAGCCUGAUCCAGCAAUGCCGCGUGAGUGAAGAAGGCCUUCGGGUUGUAAAGCUCUUUUGUCAGGGAAGAAACGGUGGGAGCUAAUAUCUCCUGCUAAUGACGGUACCUGAAGAAUAAGCACCGGCUAACUACGUGCCAGCAGCCGCGGUAAUACGUAGGGUGCAAGCGUUAAUCGGAAUUACUGGGCGUAAAGCGUGCGCAGGCGGUUUUGUAAGUCUGAUGUGAAAUCCCCGGGCUCAACCUGGGAAUUGCAUUGGAGACUGCAAGGCUAGAAUCUGGCAGAGGGGGGUAGAAUUCCACGUGUAGCAGUGAAAUGCGUAGAUAUGUGGAGGAACACCGAUGGCGAAGGCAGCCCCCUGGGUCAAGAUUGACGCUCAUGCACGAAAGCGUGGGGAGCAAACAGGAUUAGAUACCCCAG